Molecule: unclassified non-coding RNA, 2657 nt
Filed under: Trichogramma pretiosum
Lineage: Eukaryota; Metazoa; Arthropoda; Insecta; Hymenoptera; Trichogrammatidae
Description: protein NDRG3, transcript variant X3
Source: RNAcentral
UGCCAAAGCCAAGCAGCAGCAGCAGGCGAACGAUAUAGCUAGCUCGCUCGCUCGCUCCCGACUUUGUAGCCAACUUUUGCCAGUGCUAUAUACGGUGUGCCUUCGAGACGACGGACGACGGUGUGUGCGUCUCUUCUCUAUCUCUCUCCGCGUUUAAAGAGCGAAUACAUAGAGAAAAUUAUAUCAAUCGCGUGUAUAAUCGCGGAAAGGAGACAUCGGAUCGCGUGAGUCUUCUCGGUCGUCGAGCGGGGGAGAAGACAACAACGACGACGACGAGUAAAAAAAAAUAUUGUGCGCGUGAAGGCGGACGAGGAUUUUUAAAAGAAGUGAAUGGUCGAAAAAAUAGAGGAGCCGCCGAAGGCCACUCGAUAAAGGAAAGAGAUUCGUGGUGUUGACCAGCCCGAGUUGUGCAUGUAAAAUAGUCGUCGACUGCGAAUGCCACUGUAGCAGGAGCAGGGCACCAACGCACCAACACACACACAUAUAUGUAGACAAGCUGAUUGCAGCUGACAGCUCCGCAUAUAGUCUGCUGUGUGUGUGCGCGCGUGUAUAUACACAGGAGCGCAGCAGAGUUUUAGAGAGCAGAAGACGCAGAUAGAGAGAAGGCAAAGGAGCAGAAUAUAUAAUAUUCAAAAAAGUUUGACGUUGUGUAGUCGUCGUCGUUGCCGUAGCUGCUUUUCCAGGGAUCUUUUAAAGAACCCGUAUCACAUCGAAGUUAUUGUGCCUCGAUCGACAAACGCCACCCCAAACGCACAAGGUUCAUCGCGCUCUGCAGCCAUCAUACAGCUCAUCACACAGAUAUCGCUUCUUUUUCUCUCUCACACUCGAUCUUCUUCCUCUCUAAACUUGCCUGUCUCUCAUCACUUUACACACUUAAACACACUUGCACCGCACGACGUGAUAAUCAGUAGUCCGAUGCAAGUCUGCCGCACGUUGCCAAAGGCUUCAGAACGUUAAGUCGCCUGAGACGCAAGCUCGUCCGAGCCAAUACAACCGCCGCUUCAGCCGGAGUAGCAGUAAGCGAGCUCGAGGACCAUCGUGAGAAUAACAAGGAGGAAAAAGAAGCGGAAGAGGAGCAGCAGCGAGCGACCACUUGGUCGAAUCGUCGGAGUUGGCGUCGCUCCGAGUACCGGAGAAGAGGCAGGGCGGCCACGAUGCCGGCGGCCAGCGGUAUCGGCGCCUCGUACAGGUCGCUCGGUGACCUGGGCGAGGACGUCUACAAGAGCACGACCGUAGCUGAUAAUAAUGGCGGCGGUGGUGGCAUUGGCACCACCACCACGGCGAGCGUGCUCGAGUCCGUGAAGAAGGCCUUCAGCUUCGCCGCGCCGGCAGUGAUGAAGGUCGACUUCGCCCAGGGCAGGAAGAAAGAGCCGCUGAUCGAGGAGCAGCAGCGACGCGAGACGAUCUCGAUCGUGUCCAGAGAUAAAGCCAAGAUGCCGACCGCCGCCAGUGCUGAGGAAUCGGCCCUUCUGGGCGCCAUGCCGUCGGACAGUAUGGACGACAUCGAGCUGAAGAACAUCCAGCUGCAGUUCCCGGCCCUGAGGUACCUGUCGAGGGACGACGGCUCGGUGCACGAGGAGCGAGUGGAGACCGACAAGGGCUCAGUCGUGGUCGCCGUCCAGGGCAAUCGUGCGAAACCUGCCAUUAUCACGUAUCAUGAUCUAGGCCUUAACUAUAUCUCGAGCUUCCAGGCGUUUUUCAAUUACAUCGAUAUGCGAGUCCUGCUGGAGAACUUCUGCGUCUAUCACGUGAACGCACCCGGCCAAGAGGAGGGAGCGCCGUCGUUCUCCGACGACUACGUGUACCCGACGAUGGACGAGUUGGCCGAGCAGCUGCUCUUCGUGAUGGGCCACUUCAGGCUGCGCAACGCCAUCGGCUUCGGGGUCGGCGUCGGCGCCAACGUCCUGGCGCGCUUCGCCCUGGCCCACCCGGACAAGGUCAACGCCCUGUGCCUCAUCAAUUGCGUCUCGACGCAGGCCGGCUGGAUCGAGUGGGGCUACCAGAAACUCAACUGUCGCCAUCUGCGCUCGCAGGGCAUGACCCAGGGCGUCCUCGAUUAUCUCAUGUGGCAUCAUUUCGGCAGGGACACCGACGAGCGCAAUCACGACCUCGUGCAGGUCUACAAGAACUACUUCGAGCGGCGCGUCAAUCCGACGAAUCUGGCCCUGUUCAUCGACAGCUACGUGCGCCGCACCGAUCUCAACAUCGUGCGCGAGCUCGACCCCACCCGCAAGAAGGACAACACGACCCUGAGCGUGCCGGUGAUGAACAUCACGGGCUCGCUGAGUCCCCACGUCGAGGACACGGUGACGCUCAACGGACGCCUCGAUCCCACCAACAGUUCGUGGAUGAAGAUAUCCGAUUGCGGAAUGGUGCUGGAGGAGCAGCCCGGCAAAGUGAGCGAGGCCUUCCGAUUGUUCCUGCAGGGUGAAGGAUAUGUGUGCCGAACUGCUCGGGAAGACUCAGUACGGCGUCUACAACACCCGAAGGUAAAUGUUAUUAGGAUUUGAAGCCGCAAAGGAGUUGAACGCGCUGUGUCGGUCAAUUAGCCCACUUCUAAUCGUUAACCGCACCACUAUCCCCGCUAAAAAUGGCCGAUUACAGACUAGCGUCGCUCGAAGGGCUGAAUCAUAUCUGCAGUAAGAAAAUAGACUGGC